Alosa sapidissima (American shad) is the source of this 319-nucleotide long non-coding RNA. RefSeq lists it as uncharacterized. The record is from RefSeq and is a predicted model, not a curated record. Lineage: Eukaryota; Metazoa; Chordata; Actinopteri; Clupeiformes; Clupeidae. The transcript has 3 exons.
GCCAGCGGAGACGGUGCCACGAAAGGGCACCAAACCAAACCAGUUUUUUUUUUGCUGCUCAUGCAUUAUACAUUGGGUAUAGAGGGUCCAUGCAGUCUCUCUUGCAAAUGGUGAGAGGGAAACAGGAGCAAUGGCUAUUUGUGACUUCACUCCAGACCAUCACUGUCCUCCCUCUCAGGUCUUCGGGCGACACGUAGCACUCUGGGUCCUCCUCCCCUGGUGUGCGGGGCUUACACUUCCCACAACAGCAGUUGAAACAGCAGCACAGACAGCAGCAGAAGUAGCAGCCCGUCAGCAGGCCGCAGAUCGCAAACAAGCC